RNAcentral lists this ribosomal RNA (1428 nucleotides) under Pseudacris triseriata (western chorus frog). RNAcentral describes it as "partial 16S ribosomal RNA". It matches the Rfam family "Bacterial large subunit ribosomal RNA", at positions 150 to 2597 of the family's 2925-position model. Lineage: Eukaryota; Metazoa; Chordata; Amphibia; Anura; Hylidae. The record is from RNAcentral.
GCCAAAAACCUAGCCCCCCCCCCCCCCCACCAAUGCAUCACAAUAAUUAACAUUAAAAAUCAAAACAUUUUUAUAAUUUAGUAAAGGCGAUUGAAAAACUAUUAGGAGCUAUAUUAAGAGUACCGCAAGGGAAAGGUGAAAUAAAAAUGAAAAAAAUUUCAAGCACUCAAAAGUAGAGAUUUAACCUCGUACCUUUUGCAUCAUGGUUUAACUAGUCAAAUCAAGCAAGACGACUUAUAGUUUGACCUCCCGAAACUAGGCGAGCUACUUCAGGGCAGCUUAUUGAGCAAACCCGUCUCUGUUGCAAAAGAGUGGGAAGACCCUCAAGUAGGGGUGACAGACCUAACGAGCUUAGUGAUAGCUGGUUACUCAAGAAAAGGAUUUUAGUCCAGCCUAAAGUCUCAUUAAUAUCUUUAAAUAUAAUCACUUUAGAGUAAUUCAAAUAAGGUACAGCCUAUUUGAAACAGGAUACAACCUCAACCAAAGGGUAAUUAUUCUUAAUAACAACCAAGUAGGCCUAAAAGCAGCCAUCUUUUGAAUAGCGUCAAAGCUUAAUUGUUUACACCCUCAAUUCCAAAAAUAAUUUAGAACCCUACAUUAAUACUGAGUAAUUCUAUAUACCUAUAGAACAUUUUAUGUUAAAACUAGUAACAAGAAGAAGACCUUCUCUUAAAUGUAAGUGUAAGUCAAAAAGGACCAACCAGUGACUAUUAACAUUACUGAACAAAAAUUAGCAACCCAACAAGAAAAACCCAAUUUUCAUCAUGUUAAACUAACACAAGAGCAUUACAAGAAAGAUUAAAAGAAAAAGAAGGAACUCGGCAAACAUUAACCUCGCCUGUUUACCAAAAACAUCGCCUCUUGAAUAAAUAUAAGAGGUCCAGCCUGCCCAGUGACUCUGUUCAACGGCCGCGGUAUCCUAACCGUGCGAAGGUAGCGUAAUCACUUGUUCUUUAAAUAAGGACUAGUAUGAAUGGCACCACGAAGGUUAUACUGUCUCCUUUUUUUAAUCAGUGAAACUAAUCUCCCCGUGAAGAAGCGGGGAUAAACUUAUAAGACGAGAAGACCCUAUGGAGCUUUAAACUAAACUACACUUGCUUUUAUAUAUAAACAUUUUCAGAAUGAUUAAUACUUAUCUUAGCUUCAUGAUUUUUAGUUUUAGGUUGGGGUGACCGCGGAGUAAAAUAAAACCUCCACAUUGAAAGGGAUUUUAAACCCUGAGCAAUGAGUCACGACUCUAUGCACCAAUAAAUUGACAUCAAUUGACCCAAUACUUUUGAUCAAUGAACCAAGUUACCCUAGGGAUAACAGCGCAAUCCGCCUCAAGAGCUCCUAUCGACAGGCGGGUUUACGACCUCGAUGUUGGAUCAGGGUAUCCCAGUGGUGCAGCCGCUACUAAAGGUUCGUUUGUUCAACGAUUAAAACCCU